Molecule: ribosomal RNA, 253 nt
Filed under: uncultured bacterium
Lineage: Bacteria
Description: partial 16S ribosomal RNA
Rfam family: Bacterial small subunit ribosomal RNA
Source: RNAcentral
UACAGAGGUCUCGAGCGUUGUUCGGAUUCAUUGGGCGUAAAGGGCGCGUAGGCUGCGGGGUAAGUCAGGUGUGAAAUCUCAGGGCUCAACUCUGAAAUUGCACUUGAUACUGCUCUGCUAGAGGACUGGAGAGGAGAUUGGAAUUCACGGUGUAGCAGUGAAAUGCGUAGAUAUCGUGAGGAAGACCGGUGGCGAAGGCGGAUCUCUGGACAGUUCCUGACGCUGAGGCGCGAAGGCCAGGGGAGCAAACGGG